AUAACUAAUUUUGGCGGCAUUUUGCAUCAUAGCGCUCAUGUAAGAAAGCAAAAAACUUUAAAAAUCUUAUGUUUUGUCAUAUGUGUUGAAGAUUACCACAAACUGACACAAACGCAGUUUUUAUACAGUCCCCCCUCGGCAUCUGACGUCCGUUUGGAACAAGCCGUUAACAACUUGUAACAACCUUGUUGAUACUAUCAUUUAUACAAGGUUGUUCCAACAAGUCCGAUACAGUCAUG
This is a non-coding RNA of Paramuricea clavata, 239 nucleotides long. The record is from the annotation of a GenBank genome assembly. NCBI's taxonomy places the organism in Eukaryota, Metazoa, Cnidaria, Anthozoa, Malacalcyonacea, Plexauridae.